UUUAAAAAAUUUUACACACGCAUGUGCGCAGACACACAAAAUAAACAUAUCCAGCCAAACAGAAUUAUAAACACAAGGCAGGGAAGACGCACACGAAUACAGAGAGAUGUACAUAAAGGUAAACGUACACAACACGAUACAAAAAGUCUCUUCAGCAUCUUUCGAUGUUCUCGCAUAUUUUCAGUAGAAUAUAAAUCGGAUCGACAGACAAAUGUGCCGAACAGAGCUUUAUAGCGAUUAUUACUUGGAAUUCGUCACUCUUUAUCAUUUUGCAUCCUGUUCCUUAGUGCAAUUGAAGCCAGGAGAGAUCAACAAUAUAAAUAUUAGAGUCACUUCUUGCGUGACUGGAAACACAUUUUCUCGUGGAACACAAUUGGUGAUAGUAAAAGGAACAUCAUAUCGACGAUGGCAGAAAAAAACGAGAAUUGGAUAAUGAGAUUUUUUAGAAUGAAAAGUAACGUUGCACAAUGUAGAUUAUGUGCCUAUAAGAAAUCACUAUUUAAAUCCGUAAGAUGUAUCUGCUAUCAUAUAAUUGAUACACAUAACUCUGACUGGAUGAAAUCUAUGAGCCGAUCAACUAUCCCGUGGCCUCAUAUGAUUUGGCGUUACUUCUACAUAAGCGAUGAUUGCUAUGCAAAAUGUCUUAAAGACGGUUGUCAACAAACGUAUAAUUUCGGUUCAAUUAAGAUGUCAGAAAUGCAACUACAUUUCGUAGAAACCCAUAUAAAAGCUGGCAAUAUAAACAUUGAUAAAUGGAUAACACCAUAUUAUAAAAUAAAAUCCCGUAAUCGCAGGAAUAGACCAUUAGAGAAACAAUGCAAAGAACCUAAUUGUAAUUGGGUAAAACACCCAUACAUGCAGUAUGCAUGUUUAUUUGGGCACUUGGUUCUUGACCAUAAAUUUAUUCCUCACCAAUCAAUAAGGACGGGAAGAGAAGCUGCAGAAAAAUUCUUUUUAUCAAAACGCCAUAAAGUUUCAGAAGAUUCAUGAAAAGUUCAACAACAUGGACGCAGUUUCGAAAGAAAUGAGACUAACGUAUUAUCAUGGACAUGUAUUUUUAAUUGUAUUUUAUAAUUAAGAAUUGGCAUACAUUUAAAAAUGUCUUUGAUCUAGGUAUCUAACAUGUUUUAAAAAUAUUUUAUAAAACAUAUUUAUAUGUUUAAUAACAUAUUUUAUAUAACAAUUAACAUAAAUUUAAUAUUCGCUUGUAUAUUGUUGAAACAAUCAAUAUAGUAAAAGAGGCCAGCAUAACGAGCACCAAAUAUAAUGUUAGCUUCAGAAAUUUAUUUAAUAUAUUCAGCAAGCAUUCUUAAAUCAAAAAAAAUAU
This is a non-coding RNA of Nylanderia fulva, 1327 nucleotides long. NCBI's taxonomy places the organism in Eukaryota, Metazoa, Arthropoda, Insecta, Hymenoptera, Formicidae. The record is from RefSeq and is a predicted model, not a curated record.